Non-coding RNA from Rattus norvegicus (Norway rat), 7758 nucleotides. The record is from RefSeq and is a predicted model, not a curated record. Lineage: Eukaryota; Metazoa; Chordata; Mammalia; Rodentia; Muridae.
AUUCCGACACAGGGGGCCACCUUAGCAGCCCCUCUCCCAGCCCCGCACGCCACGAUCUACGGUGGUUGCUCGGCGAGCCCGGGCGCUGAGGUGCACCUGUUCUUCAGCCGGCCCGCAGCCAACCCUCGGUGAACGCUCUCCGGGAGAAACCAAUCCUAGCGCAGAGCGGAGGGCGAGCGGCCGGGCUCGCCUCGCUCCCGCCGCCCGCGGCUCUGCGCCGCCACUGCCGCCGCCUCCCGUGAGUCAAACUCCAGAGAGCUACGCCGCCGCCCCGGAGCGGGGUACUCGGGACGCACCCCGAUCGGCACGCAGAGGAUACCAAACAAGCCUGGUGCCGCUGCCGGGUCGACCCGGGCUAGCCAAAAUGGGAGAGAGCCACGGGGGUCCUGGACGGCGUGACCGCUGCACCAAGCAGUUUCUUGCACUCAACCACUCGGCUUCGGGUGUCUGUGUGUUUGUGUGCGGAGUCGCCGCGGACGGGGUGGGAUUCGGACAGAGUAGCGCCUCCCACCAACACCUAAUGGUGCUGUCUUACUGCGCGCUGGAUAAAUAAAUGAUCCAAGCGGACCCCGUUGGAGAUGUGUGGCACCAGGAGCUCUGGAUCUGCUGUGUGCAGGUUUCUGGUGUGGAUCCUGCUGGGUCAGACACAGAAGCUGCGGGGAGAAUGCCGCACGGGCGUGUUAAGUGGGAGGGCACCUCUGAGCUCCCCUGCCCCGCCGCGGUGCGGUUGGACAGAGAACCACCUUUGCUUUUGGAGUUACUGAGAGAUGCUGCUGAAGCAGAGGACCUUUCCAUGAUCAGAUCUCUAAGCCAUUAACUCACCUUUUAAAAAGUAUCAUCUUUAAAUAUAGGCACCCCUCGGAAACAAGGCGAGAGGCAAAAAUGAGAAAAGAUGCUACCUAGUCUCUUAAAUUUCGUAGCUGGUUUCUUCCCUUUGGUAGAGGGAGAUCAGAGUAUCUCCAAUUUCAGUAAGCUGUGCUGUGGUACCUCCCUGAGGACCAGGUGGCACAGACAGGAAAGGGGCAAGAGCAGGUGCUAACAGAUAUACAUACGCUGCUGGUGUAAAGCGAUGAUGCUUCCCACACUACCCUAUGCUGAAGUGGAAACGAAAGGGGAGGUGUUUUUUGUUUUUGGUUUUUUGUUUUUCAUUUAAUUUUCUUACAAGUGCUGUGUAAGAAUGGGAGGUUGAGAAUGGCAUCUUCUUUAUCAUGCACCUCCCAGCACCGUCCGAGAAUGCAGACAGCAUCCUCCAGUCCUGGGAUGCACUCCAGAAAGAUGAAGUUUCCUAGGUAUCCAUUUUAUUCACAGGUUAAAAGCAAAAGGGAAUGCUACUCUGAGGAGGUGGCAGAGUGCAGAGAAUACAUUCAAACAGGAAGCCCUGGUGGAAUUGUGUGCGUACCACAGUUCUUUGCAGAGGCAUGAUUAAUAAAUUAUUUUUUGAUGGCAGUAAUGUGGCUGUCAUCUCUUUCAGCUCUAACGCUGAGACCUAAUCCAUAGGAAAAUCCUUGGUUUUUAAUUUCACAAAGCAUGCCCUAAUGCAGCAGUGCUGAAUGAUGCCUUCCAGAGUUGCAAUAGGGAAAAACAAAACAAGCAAACAAACAAAACCAAGCAACAACAAAACACUAAAUCCAUCCUCUUUUGGCUUUCUAAUGCAAGACAUAAGUAAAAACGUCUUAACCUUCUGUAGGCUGCCAGGCAUCUGCUCCUUGCCUUUCUCAUGCAGUAAAAUAAAAGCAUUUCCACAUUAUAGUAGGUGAUGCUGUUGACACUUGAGAAAGAUUUCUUUUCCACACUUAGUUCAUCAUCAUCCCUCUCAAAUCCCACCUCCAGGAUUCUGUGUUCUUUGCCUUCUUCCUCCCCCGAUGGAAUAAAUCCAAAACACAAAGAGAGGUGCUGCAACGCUUUUGUGGGGAAACGAGCUCUUCCUGAAACCACAAUUGGACAGUAUCCACCUUCUCUUCAUUGUUUCCCAAAGCCUUCUUCACUUCUCGUUCCAAAUUCCCUCUCCUUCCCCCCUUCUACUUCGAUUUAAAAGCUUGUUCCUGGUUCCCUAUUGAGUUCCUAUUUUCCUGGAACACCAGUCACUGUGUAUCAGCUGCUCUUACAAGGAAGAAUCUCCAGAGGGAGCAGGGCAGCAGGGCCCAUUGCUUUGAUGGUUUUCUAUUAAGGAUCAGGUGGUAACAGACCAUCCAGAGAAGUUUAGCAGAUGUAACUGUCCUCACUGUAAAACUGGAUUGUAAGGCUUUCUGGUAGCAGGUGGUAAGCGUGGGGAACCACUGUCCAUGAUGCAGUCAAGGGCUGGACCCUCUCGCUGCUAAAGAAUAGACAGGAUUCCUUUAACAGGCAUGACUUAGAAGCUCCAAGCUGUCUAUCGGUGAUUUUCUAGUUUUGGCUAAUUGAGGAAGAAAGAUCACUCAAACUGUAGUCCACGGGGUGAUGUCUAGUUCUGAAAAAAAUGGAAAAAGAUAGCUGAGCAUGUGGUUGCAAUGUGAGUAGCUGCUGCCAACAUUCUGCCACCAGACCUACCUUCCCAUAGGAACUGUGUUCCCAGGCUGUGGGCAAGAAACAAGCCUUCCUUCCUGAAGUUACUUUAGCCAGCUAUUUCAUCUCAGCAGUGAGACCUGUAACUAUGACACUUACCUGGUAAGGAGCAUCCUGGUUCUAAUCCCUCACACCUUACUGACACCAAACACGGCAGUAGGUUCACAUUAAGACACAAUUUCAAGUUAGAGCUCUGCCUCUGGUAAUAAUCUGGUAAUGAGAAAAAAUGAUGUCUCGUUUUUUUCUCAAGUAUGAAAUGGGGCUUCUACUUAAUUCUUGAAAAUCAUAUCACUAAGGAGACUGUUAGCUAUGGUGUCUUUGAAGCACCACCACCAGUUACUUUCCUGAGAAACAUGAGGCCAUCUCUAAAACUUUACUCCCAAACCCCAAGUUCAAUUAGCUGCCAAGCCAUUUACUUUCUAUCUUUAUAAUAUAAUUUUUAAUGAUGAGAAACUUAUUAAAAAUCCUCAAUCAAAACUGCAAAGUUGGAAGUAACCUUAUUGGCCAGACACAUCCAAUAUGUCAUCCAUCAGAGUUUUGAAGAAGGUAGUCUCUACUUGGAGAAGCUCUGGCAGCCUGGGAAUGAUACAUUUAACUUUAUAAGAGUUCGCUUUAGAGAAAAGUGUUGCUUUUGUUACUUUUCUGCAUACUUGGCUCACUCAUCCUGAACCAGAUAUGAGGCUUAGAGGAUACAAUAGAACACAGGACCCUCCUUUCACCUGGUUUACAAUGUAGGAAGUAUGGUUGACAGUAAGCAACAAAAUAAAAUAGAAUAGCAAGAAAUAAUGAGAACUAUAGUUUGGGUCUACCAAGAUCAAACUUGCUUGGUGUGAUUAUAGAAGACUCUUAAGUAAGUAUUUCUAGCUAGUUUACCAUCACCCUUUUUAAAGUCCUGGGAACUUCACAUUCAUACCACUCAGAUCGAGGACUGUCUUUAUGUACUGUGAGCUCAAUUAAUAGGGCAGUCACUUAGAAGCCAGUAUGUCUCACAAAACUAUGGUAUUCUCCAUGUUCCUCCCUGGAAUCAAGUUUAGAGUCAGUGUGAUAACCUGGGCAUAUCGGACAGUAUAAAUAUUUUAUAAUUGCUAAAGUCUACCUUUUUCAUGGCUUCCACUUAAGGUCUUGUUUCUGAGUAAACAUGAAUAUUUAGUAUUACUAUUAGUAUUACUGUUCUUAUUAGUAUUGCUAUUACUAUUAGUAUUACUAUUUCUAUUAGUAUUACUAUUACUAUUAGUAUUAUUAUUUCUAUUAGUAUUACUAUUACUAUUAGUAUUACUGUUACUAUUACUAUUACUAAGACUGGAAAUAGAGGAGUUCUGCAGAAAUUGUAAAAGUCUUUUGAAGAAAGAAAUAUGCUCUUUUCUCCGUGUCUUUCAAGUCACAUCACCUGUUUCUUUGGGCUCCGCAUUAACUCAAAGUAUAAGAUCAACCCAGAAGGGCAACAGAAAAUCUGGAGAGCACUGUCUUCACAACAUCCAGGAUUCAAGACCUCUUCCACUGCAACAUACCAUGAAGAAAAUGAACAAUAACUAAGUGAGUGAUCCAGAACAAAUGGAGAAAGGAGAGGAAUUCCAGUGUAACCAUAUCCUAGUUGCAAAGGAUUAUAAUAUUAUCCAAAGUCUCAAGUAUGUGGAAUGUCAGGUGAUAAACAUAAGGUGAAAUUACACCCCCAAAUCUUUAACACCUAUGAAAAUAGUGAGAGAACAUAAGAAUUUCAUAGCAACUGGAGAAAUAAGGAAAACUAAGCAGUAUAUCCAUUCUAUUCCUGUUGGCUUAGCAAAGUUGGCAUGCUCUAGAAAGACUUUUUCACUAACUAUGGAGCAAGGUUAAACAGUAGUGCAAUUGUACAUGUGAAAAUUGGGGGAACCAGGACACUGAACAGUAAUGAUGUAGAUUCCAAACACAAAUAAAGGUUGAAAGACUACCAGGGCUAAUGUGUCCAAAGAAAGUGUACAGCAGCAGACAGAUCCCCUACACUUACUGGACCCUGUACUCUUGAGGAGAGCCUUCUGCGUUUCGCCAGCAGACACCAGGAAUUUAAAGUAGAGGUUUGAGCACUCGGCACUAAGGGUUGAUGAAGAGAGGUCCAUUAGAAACCGGAAUGAAAAUAACCUUCAUCUCUGACCUCCCAAGGAUCACUGAAGAUCAAAACAGCUUUCAGUCUUCACUACAGAGUAAGAUUAAAAUGCAAAACAGCACUGUUUAUGGCUUUAGUUUAAAUAUUAAGGAGGGCAGCAAACCAAGUCUCGAAUGUCAUCAUUUUGGGAGUGACAUCUGAUAAAAAUAAUAAUCUCCUAGGAAAAUAUCCAAUUAGCCCAAAGAAUUCCCCUAGCAAACCGAACAAUGGCACUGACUUGCCCGAAGGCUGAUUUGCAAAUGAUUACACAUCCUUUACCACCCCUGAUCCAGCCCCAGCUCUUUCCCAAUCAUUCUUUGUUCUAUGAGAUUAGUAUGGAAACAAGAAGACUAAUUUGAAGUCACACCUUAUCUAAGUUGUCUUUUAUUUGAAAUAUAUAUAUAUUAUAUGAAAGUUAUAAUGAUAUUUUCAUGUAUGUGACUAAUAAUGUACUUUUUUUCACAUUCACCUUCUGUUACUCCGGUUUGCUGUCUCCCUGUCACUGACUCCCUUUCUCUUCCCACACAGCCGCUCUUCUGUUAAUAACGUGUGUUACAUGUGUUUCUGAGUCUGACUUACUUUAUGCAAAAUGGGGACCUCUAUUUCCUCCAGACAACAUAAUGUUGUCCUUCAUUAGAGAUGAACAAUAUGUCACUAUGUGUAUCUACUACAUUUUCUUUACUCUUUUAUCUGUUGAUGGACACUUGAACUGAAUGCAGAAUUUGGCUUCACAGUGAGCAGUAAGCAUGACUGUCCAAGUAUCAUUAUUGUAUAUCUUCAGGUAUUCCCAGGAGUUGUAUAAAGCACCAUGAAGUACUUUCAUGUUUCGCGUUUUUAAAUUUCAUUUAUUUUAUGUGUAUUUCUGGGUGUUUUCCCUGUGUUUGUGUCUAUAUACCCUGUGCAAAGGAGCCAUCAAGGGCAUUGGAUUCCUUGGGACUACUGUUACAGAUGGUUGGGAGUCACCAGGUGGGUGUUGGGACUCGAACUUGGGUUCACUGAAAGAGCAGCCAGUCCUGCUAACUGCUAAGCCAUCACUGCAGCCUAUGCAUAGUAUUUUUGAGGCAAAUCUCUAAGAUAUACUCAGUACUUUAGAUAUUUCUUUCUGAUUAGGAUGGAAAGGCUUUUCACCUUCCAAGAUCUUCCUUAAUAGGUUUAUUAUUGUUAUAUGUGCUAACGUUUUCAGUAUAGAAAACUUUUGCCCCCUUUGUUAGAUUUUAUUCAGAUUAUAACUGAGAAUAUUCUGAUUAUGGUUGUUUUUCUGAAUUCUUGCUUAGUAUGUUCAUUACACAUAUGUAGGAAAACUAUGUUUUAAUGUAUUGAUAUUGUGUUCUGCACAUUUGGUGGAAGAAUUUAUCAGACCAUAGAAUUUUCCAGUGCAUUUUUUAGGUUCUUAAUAUUAUUUAUUUAUUUAUUACUUAUUUACUUUAAAACUAGAGACUUCACUCAUACAAUAUUUCCUUUCUCUCCACCCCUUUCAGCUUCUCCCCAUCCUCCCCUCUCUCCCGGAUCAACUUCCCCUCUCUUCAGAGCAGGCUUCUAAGAGACAACAGGAAACACAACAAAACAAGAUACAUAAGACAAGACAAAAGGCUUAAAAUUGAUUCUGGACAAGGCAACCCUAUAGAAGAAAAAAGAGUUCCCAGAGCAGGCAAAUGAGUGUUUUGUAGAUUUUUUUUAAUCCAUUUUUUCUUAUUGUUAAUUCUUCUCUCAUACAAUACAUUCCAACUGCAGCCUCUCACUCCCUCUACUCCUUCAACUUCACACACACACACACACAUGCACACACACACAGCCUGGUCCUGCCUCUCCCAGACUCACUGCUCCUCCAUUUCAUUUCAGAAAAGAACAGGCCUCCCAGUGGUACCAACCCACAGUUUCCUAAGUAUAGUAUCUUUAGUAUCUAUUAUCUGCAAGGUGGUAUAUUUUGGCAUUUUGUUUCCUACUUAUAACUCUUUUAUUUUGGCUCAUAUCCCAAUGUUCUAGCUAAGAAAUUGAGUACUGUAUUAACAUCCGUGAGAGUUGAUCCAAACUUUUCUAACUUUAGAAGGGACACUGUCAGACUUUAUUCAAUCAGUAUAACCUUAACUGCAGGUUUCCAGUAUGUUCGAGUAAUGUUCCUUUGGUUCCUAUGCUCCAGAGCAUUUCUGACCUUAGGAUUGUGUUAGAUUUGUCAAACUCUUUGUCCUGUGUCUUUCAGAAUGCAUGUGUGACUUCAGUUCUUGAUGCAUUUGUGUGUUAUGUUACACACUGAUCUACCUAAGAAGUCAUCCUUUGAAAAGCACAAACUUCAACAUGGAAGAUAAGAUUUUCACACAUGGUGAGCUUGCUAUGCAAAUACAUUUUCAGUCUACGUUGAUCAAGGAUAUCAGUUUAUAGCUUUCCAUUUACAUUGCACCUUCCUCUGAAUUUGGCCGUAGGAAAAUACUGUGUAAACAGAAUGAGCUGGGCAGUGUUGCCUCCCUCUUCAUCCCUGAUGCCCUUUUUCUUUUCCUCAGAAUGUAGUAACUGAUUUAUAACACCAAUGCUCCUCCUUGACAGAGUCUCUGGAAGGUCUUCUUUUGUCCACCAUCUUUUCUUGGAGCAUCUGACUGGCAUCAAACACAAUUGUUUUGAAAAAUUUCUCUUUGUCUUCCCUUUCUUCUCCUUUUAUAGGGGAUCAAAAAUUGGAUGAGUGUGUUUGUUGUCAUGUUUUUAGUUCUUUCUGUGUUGUCUGAUCGCAACCUUAUCAAGUAGGCUGAGACAAUGACACCCAAAGGAUCAAAGAUCUGGAAGACUGUUGUAACCUGAUAGACCCUCGGAGACUUUCUUAAUAUCAUUCAUUGAUAGAUUAGCAAAUCAUACACAAAACAGGUCACAAUUCAGGCAUGAUUGCACUAAGUACACAGUGAUUCCCCUGAAUGAAGUAUCUAUUUUUGGUAAAAACUUAUGUAAAGUCAGCAAGAUUGUAUGCUAAAAAUUUCUAAGGAUGUUCUCCUUUAUAACAGCAUUUAAAAGAGUCAAAACUUUGCCAGAAUAACUUUUAUUUUUAGAACGUUGGCAAUUAACCAAAGCAUCAUUCUGAGAGGCUUUAUUGAAUAAAAAAAAUGGCUGAAUCUUGGUAA